CGCAGCCGCGGUAAUUCCAGCUCCAAUAGCGUAUAUUAAAGUUGUUGCAGUUAAAAAGCUCGUAGUUGAAUUUCGGGGUUCUACCGUUGGUCGGGCUUUGUCUGUACUGGCGUGUAGAAUUUCUACCUUCUGGGGAACCAUCAUGUUAUUAAUUUAACGUGGUGGGAAACCAGGACCUUUACCUUGAAAAAAUUAGAGUGUUCAAAGCAGGCUUAUGUCUGAAUACAUUAGCAUGGAAUAAUAAAAUAGGACGGUGGUCCUGUUUUGUUGGUUUCUGAAUCACCGUAAUGAUUAAUAGGGAUAGUUGGGGGCAUUAGUAUUCAAUUGUCAGAGGUGAAAUUCUUGGAUUUAUUGAAGACUAACUUCUGCGAAAGCAUUUGCCAAGGAUGUUUUCAUUAAUCAAGAACGAAAGUUAGGGAUCGAAGACGAUCAGAUACCGUCGUAGUCUUAACCAUAAACUAUGCCGACUAGGGAUCGGACGAUGUUAAUUUUCUUGUACUCGUUCGGCGUCCGUUACGGGAAACCAAAGUCGUUUUAGGGUUCGUGAGACA
RNAcentral lists this ribosomal RNA (551 nucleotides) under uncultured fungus. RNAcentral describes it as "SSU rRNA". It matches the Rfam family "Eukaryotic small subunit ribosomal RNA", at positions 569 to 1122 of the family's 1831-position model. The record is from RNAcentral. Lineage: Eukaryota; Fungi.